RNAcentral lists this ribosomal RNA (452 nucleotides) under uncultured bacterium. RNAcentral's name for it is "bacterial SSU rRNA". It matches the Rfam family "Bacterial small subunit ribosomal RNA", at positions 39 to 532 of the family's 1533-position model. The record is from RNAcentral.
AAGUGCGGCAGGCUUACACAUGCAAGUCGAGCGGGCGUAGCAAUACGUCAGCGGCAGACGGGUGAGUAACGCGUGGGAACGUACCUUUUGGUUCGGAACAACCCAGGGAAACUUGGGCUAAUACCGGAUAAGCCCUUACGGGGAAAGAUUUAUCGCCGAAAGAUCGGCCCGCGUCUGAUUAGCUAGUUGGUGAGGUAAUGGCCCACCAAGGCGACGAUCAGUAGCUGGUCUGAGAGGAUGAUCAGCCACAUUGGGACUGAGACACGGCCCAAACUCCUACGGGAGGCAGCAGUGGGGAAUAUUGGACAAUGGGCGCAAGCCUGAUCCAGCCAUGCCGCGUGAGUGAUGAAGGCCCUAGGGUUGUAAAGCUCUUUUGUGCGGGAAGAUAAUGACGGUACCGCAAGAAUAAGCCCCGGCUAACUUCGUGCCAGCAGCCGCGGUAAUACGAAGGG